AUAGUGAAGCCGCGAAUAGCUCAUUACAACAGCCAUAGUUUACUGGAUAUAUUCCUACAUGGAUAACUGUGGAAAUGCUACAGCUAAUACACGCAUCAAAACCCAACCUCACGGUGGGGUGCGUUUGUUACUUCAAACCAAUCGGACUUCGGUCUGAUUUGUAGUGAAAUUGAACAAUUUAGCUGAUCGCACGGUCUACGCACCGGCGACAUAUCCUUCAAAUGUCUGCCUUAUCAACUUUCGAUGGUAGAUUAUGCGCCUACCAUGGUUGUAACGGGUAACGGAGAAUCAGGGUUUGAUUCCGGAGAGGGAGCCUGAGAAACGGCUACCACAUCCAAGGAAGGCAGCAGGCACGCAAAUUACCCACUCCCGGCACGGGGAGGUAGUGACGAAAAAUAACAAGCUGGUCUCAUUGAGUUCCGGCAUUGUAAUGGGAACAACUUAAAUCAUUUAUCGAGGAUCUAUUGGAGGGCAAGUCUGGUGCCAGCAGCCGCGGUAAUUCCAGCUCCAAUAGCG
RNAcentral lists this ribosomal RNA (516 nucleotides) under Viscosia sp. 214386362. RNAcentral's name for it is "SSU rRNA". It matches the Rfam family "Eukaryotic small subunit ribosomal RNA", at positions 78 to 599 of the family's 1831-position model. Lineage: Eukaryota; Metazoa; Nematoda; Enoplea; Enoplida; Oncholaimidae. The record is from RNAcentral.